AGAGUUUGAUCAUGGCUCAGAAUCAACGCUGGCGGCGUGCCUAACACAUGCAAGUCGAACGAGAAAGUGGUAGCAAUACCAUGAGUAAAGUGGCGCACGGGUGAGUAACACGUGACUAACCUACCCUGGAGUGGGGGAUAACUGAGGGAAACCUUAGCUAAUACCGCAUAAUACCUACGGGUCAAAGGAGCAAUUCGCUUCAGGAGGGGGUCGCGGCCGAUUAGUUAGUUGGCGGGGUAAUGGCCCACCAAGACAGUGAUCGGUAUCCGGCCUGAGAGGGCGCACGGACACACUGGAACUGAAACACGGUCCAGACUCCUACGGGAGGCAGCAGUGGGGAAUUUUGCGCAAUGGGGGAAACCCUGACGCAGCAACGCCGCGUGGAGGAUGAAGUCCUUCGGGACGUAAACUCCUUUCGAUCGGGACGAUAAUGACGGUACCGGAAGAAGAAGCCCCGGCUAACUUCGUGCCAGCAGCCGCGGUAAUACGAGGGGGGCGAGCGUUGUUCGGAAUUAUUGGGCGUAAAGGGUGCGUAGGCGGUUUGGUAAGUCUUAUGUGAAAUCUAUGGGCUCAACUCAUAGACUGCAUGAGAAACUGCCGGGCUUGAGUAUGGGAGAGGUGAGUGGAAUUCCUGGUGUAGCGGUGAAAUGCGUAGAUAUCAGGAGGAACACCUGUGGCGAAAGCGGCUCACUGGACCAUAACUGACGCUGAUGCACGAAAGCUAGGGGAGCAAACAGGAUUAGAUACCCUAGUAGUCC
This 758-nucleotide ribosomal RNA is filed under the name uncultured bacterium. RNAcentral describes it as "bacterial SSU rRNA". It matches the Rfam family "Bacterial small subunit ribosomal RNA", at positions 8 to 796 of the family's 1533-position model. The record is from RNAcentral.